GAAAGGAAAACAAUCAGGACAUCAGAAACUGCACCACUCCAGCGACCAGAGGAAACAACUCUAGUCCACCUCAUAGAGUCAAAUACUGAAAUGGAAUCAGAGUCAGUUGGCACAAGAGGAAGAACGACACUAGAGAGAGCAGACGAAUCCGCUGUAGUGCACCUCAAAGAGUCUGCUUACUUCUGCGCCCUCUAGUGGGACACUGAGGUAUUGCAAAUAAGGAUUGAAACGCUGCAGUAAGAGAUUUCUGAGAAACACUGUUGAUAUUUGAUAUCAAACCAAAUACAUCCUUCCCUUCAUCGCUCUGUUGAACACACAAUGCAAGACUGGAUGUCUCUUGAUCCUAAUUGAAAUGAAGCAAAAUAAUGCUUCAUAAAAAAAUAAACUGAAGAUUAUGAAUGAAUGAAGUUUUUUUUGUGCACACAGUGUACAGUGCAGCAUGAUUUAAAAUACACCAUAU
Non-coding RNA from Pimephales promelas (fathead minnow), 460 nucleotides. The record is from RefSeq and is a predicted model, not a curated record. NCBI's taxonomy places the organism in Eukaryota, Metazoa, Chordata, Actinopteri, Cypriniformes, Leuciscidae.